UACGUAGGGUGCAGGCGUUAAUCGGAAUUACUGGGCGUAAAGCGUGCGUAGGCGGUUUGUUAAGACAGGUGUGAAAUCCCCGGGCUUAACCUGGGAACUGCGCUUGUUACUGGCAGACUUGAGUGUGGCAGAGGGGGGUGGAAUUCCAGGUGUAGCAGUGAAAUGCGUAGAUAUCGGAAGGAACAUCAGUGGCGAAAGCGACUUCCUGGACCAGUACCGACGUUCAGGCACGAAAGCGUGGGGAGCAAACAGG
RNAcentral lists this ribosomal RNA (253 nucleotides) under uncultured bacterium. RNAcentral's name for it is "partial 16S ribosomal RNA". It matches the Rfam family "Bacterial small subunit ribosomal RNA", at positions 524 to 776 of the family's 1533-position model. The record is from RNAcentral.